UACGAAGGGGGCUAGCGUUGUUCGGAAUCACUGGGCGUAAAGCGUGCGUAGGUGGUUUGUUAAGUCUGAUGUGAAAGCCCUGGGCUCAACCUGGGAAUUGCAUUGGAUACUGGCAGUCUAGAGUGCGGUAGAGGGUAGCGGAAUUCCCGGUGUAGCAGUGAAAUGCGUAGAUAUCGGGAGGAACAUCCGUGGCGAAGGCGGCUACCUGGACCAGCACUGACACUGAGGCACGAAAGCGUGGGGAGCAAACAGG
RNAcentral lists this ribosomal RNA (253 nucleotides) under uncultured bacterium. RNAcentral describes it as "partial 16S ribosomal RNA". It matches the Rfam family "Bacterial small subunit ribosomal RNA", at positions 524 to 776 of the family's 1533-position model. The record is from RNAcentral.